RNAcentral lists this transfer RNA (71 nucleotides) under Marmota monax (woodchuck). RNAcentral's name for it is "tRNA.Ala". The stretch from base 6 to 66 matches the Rfam family "tRNA", at positions 6 to 65 of the family's 71-position model. Rfam says of the family: Transfer RNA (tRNA) molecules are approximately 80 nucleotides in length. Their secondary structure includes four short double-helical elements and three loops (D, anti-codon, and T loops). Lineage: Eukaryota; Metazoa; Chordata; Mammalia; Rodentia; Sciuridae. The record is from RNAcentral.
GGAGUUGUGGCUCAGUGGUAGAGCACUUGCCUUGCACGCAUGAGGCACUGGGUUCAAUACUCAGCACUACA